UUUUUAUGAGAGUUUGAUCCUGGCUCAGGACGAACGCUGGCGGCGUGCCUAAUACAUGCAAGUCGAACGCUUCUUUUUCCACCGGAGCUUGCUCCACCGGAAAAAGAGGAGUGGCGAACGGGUGAGUAACACGUGGGUAACCUGCCCAUCAGAAGGGGAUAACACUUGGAAACAGGUGCUAAUACCGUAUAACAAUCGAAACCGCAUGGUUUUGAUUUGAAAGGCGCUUUCGGGUGUCGCUGAUGGAUGGACCCGCGGUGCAUUAGCUAGUUGGUGAGGUAACGGCUCACCAAGGCGACGAUGCAUAGCCGACCUGAGAGGGUGAUCGGCCACAUUGGGACUGAGACACGGCCCAAACUCCUACGGGAGGCAGCAGUAGGGAAUCUUCGGCAAUGGACGAAAGUCUGACCGAGCAACGCCGCGUGAGUGAAGAAGGUUUUCGGAUCGUAAAACUCUGUUGUUAGAGAAGAACAAGGAUGAGAGUAACUGUUCAUCCCUUGACGGUAUCUAACCAGAAAGCCACGGCUAACUACGUGCCAGCAGCCGCGGUAAUACGUAGGUGGCAAGCGUUGUCCGGAUUUAUUGGGCGUAAAGCGAGCGCAGGCGGUUUCUUAAGUCUGAUGUGAAAGCCCCCGGCUCAACCGGGGAGGGUCAUUGGAAACUGGGAGACUUGAGUGCAGAAGAGGAGAGUGGAAUUCCAUGUGUAGCGGUGAAAUGCGUAGAUAUAUGGAGGAACACCAGUGGCGAAGGCGGCUCUCUGGUCUGUAACUGACGCUGAGGCUCGAAAGCGUGGGGAGCAAACAGGAUUAGAUACCCUGGUAGUCCACGCCGUAAACGAUGAGUGCUAAGUGUUGGAGGGUUUCCGCCCUUCAGUGCUGCAGCUAACGCAUUAAGCACUCCGCCUGGGGAGUACGACCGCAAGGUUGAAACUCAAAGGAAUUGACGGGGGCCCGCACAAGCGGUGGAGCAUGUGGUUUAAUUCGAAGCAACGCGAAGAACCUUACCAGGUCUUGACAUCCUUUGACCACUCUAGAGAUAGAGUUUCCCCUUCGGGGGCAAAGUGACAGGUGGUGCAUGGUUGUCGUCAGCUCGUGUCGUGAGAUGUUGGGUUAAGUCCCGCAACGAGCGCAACCCUUAUUGUUAGUUGCCAUCAUUUAGUUGGGCACUCUAGCAAGACUGCCGGUGACAAACCGGAGGAAGGUGGGGAUGACGUCAAAUCAUCAUGCCCCUUAUGACCUGGGCUACACACGUGCUACAAUGGGAAGUACAACGAGUCGCAAAGUCGCGAGGCUAAGCUAAUCUCUUAAAGCUUCUCUCAGUUCGGAUUGUAGGCUGCAACUCGCCUACAUGAAGCCGGAAUCGCUAGUAAUCGCGGAUCAGCACGCCGCGGUGAAUACGUUCCCGGGCCUUGUACACACCGCCCGUCACACCACGAGAGUUUGUAACACCCGAAGUCGGUGAGGUAACCUUUUGGAGCCAGCCGCCUAAGGUGGGAUAGAUGAUUGGGGUGAAGUCGUAACAAGGUAGCCGUAUCGGAAGGUGCGGCUGGAUCACCUCCUUUCUAAGGAA
RNAcentral lists this ribosomal RNA (1569 nucleotides) under Enterococcus hirae 57-03-H11. RNAcentral's name for it is "bacterial SSU rRNA". It matches the Rfam family "Bacterial small subunit ribosomal RNA". The record is from RNAcentral. Lineage: Bacteria; Bacillati; Bacillota; Bacilli; Lactobacillales; Enterococcaceae.